UGCCAGCCGCCGCGGUAAUACGGAGGGUGCGAACGUUAAUCGGAAUUACUGGGCGUAAAGCGCGCGUAGGUGGUUUGAUAAGUGGGAUGUGAAAGCCCCGGGCUCAACCUAGGAACUGCAUGGCUAGAGUAUGGUAGAGGGAAGUGGAAUUUCCGGUGUAGCGGUGAAAUGCGUAGAUAUCAGGAGGAACACCGAUGGCGAAGGCAUCUCUCCGGGCCGAUAUUGACGCUGAGGCGCGAAGGCGUGGGUAGCGAACGGGAUUAGAUA
RNAcentral lists this ribosomal RNA (267 nucleotides) under uncultured bacterium. RNAcentral's name for it is "partial 16S ribosomal RNA". It matches the Rfam family "Bacterial small subunit ribosomal RNA", at positions 506 to 784 of the family's 1533-position model. The record is from RNAcentral.